AAACGGAAAGAUCGAAAACACAAAGUAAAGCUGAAAAUGGAAGGAAAUAAAAUACAAGAAAAUUCUAAGGAAGAAGUCGGCAAUUUCGAAAAUCAAAAAGACAAUGUUGGUUGCUAUUGAAAAUUUUGGAACAAAGGAACAACAAAAUGGGCCACAAUAGGAUUUGGAAAUUCCUUUUUAUUGAGGACGAUCAAAAUCUUUUAGCUAUUCGCUCCAAGUUAUAUGCAAUAUCCGUAGUAAUGGGGUAUAAUAUGUUCUAUGCGGCAAUUUAUGUCAUGUGGAUAAUGUUACGUAUACUAUUGUCUACAGCACCGGGAAGAUUAGACAACUACAUUCGUUUUUAAAUAUUAAAUAAUUGUUUAUACUUCUUCUGUUCUUGUGUUAAACUGUUUAUUUCAAAAUUAAUGUUGAUAUUCAUCUCCAUUCUUUAAAACAAAAAAGUUUUAAAUAGAAUUUUGUUGUGUUUUUCAUAAAUGAUAAAAUUUAAAUGAAAAAUGGAGAUAAAUUCUAUUCAAAAUCUUUUUGUUUUAUGGAACGGAGAGGAAUAAAGGUUUCUUGUUAUUUGUUUGUUAUUUUUUAAUUUGUUUGAAAUAAAUGUUGUAUAAAAUCUAA
Long non-coding RNA from Lucilia sericata (common green bottle fly), 612 nucleotides. RefSeq lists it as uncharacterized. The transcript is spliced from 3 exons. The record is from RefSeq and is a predicted model, not a curated record. NCBI's taxonomy places the organism in Eukaryota, Metazoa, Arthropoda, Insecta, Diptera, Calliphoridae.